UAGGCCCGUCACUUAUGCUUUGAAGCUUUCCUUUUGAUCUAAUGUCAUCAAUCUAGACACAAGUACUUGGAUCAUGCUUCUCAGUUCUUUAUAAACAAAUCCACUCAAAGAAAAGUUAUUUAUAAGUGGGCUAUUUUUCUACUAUACCUGCCUAUUGCUUGUCGGAUUUGCGUACUAAAUUUGUGUGUUCUUUUUAUGCAAAUUGAUAAUUCCUUUCAUUUUAUAUAGGUUUGCGAAAAUUCUACUAGAUAUUACUCCCUCC
Molecule: long non-coding RNA, 262 nt
Filed under: Setaria viridis
Lineage: Eukaryota; Viridiplantae; Streptophyta; Magnoliopsida; Poales; Poaceae
Description: long non-coding RNA (SVIR_LNC007326)
Source: RNAcentral